UGAACGCUGGCGGCAUGCCUUACACAUGCAAGUCGAACGGUAACGCGGGGCAACCUGGCGACGAGUGGCGAACGGGUGAGUAAUGCAUCGGAACGUGCCCAGCAGUGGGGGAUAGCCCGGCGAAAGCCGGAUUAAUACCGCAUACGACCUACGGGUGAAAGCGGGGGAUCGCAAGACCUCGCGCUAUUGGAGCGGCCGAUAUCAGAUUAGGUAGUUGGUGGGGUAAAGGCUCACCAAGCCAACGAUCUGUAGCUGGUCUGAGAGGACGACCAGCCACACUGGAACUGAGACACGGUCCAGACUCCUACGGGAGGCAGCAGUGGGGAAUUUUGGACAAUGGACGCAAGUCUGAUCCAGCCAUUCCGCGUGCAGGAUGAAGGCCCUCGGGUUGUAAACUGCUUUUGUACGGAACGAAAAGGUUUCUAUUAAUACUAGGAGCUCAUGACGGUACCGUAAGAAUAAGCACCGGCUAACUACGUGCCAGCAGCCGCG
RNAcentral lists this ribosomal RNA (492 nucleotides) under uncultured bacterium. Its description in RNAcentral is "bacterial SSU rRNA". It matches the Rfam family "Bacterial small subunit ribosomal RNA", at positions 30 to 519 of the family's 1533-position model. The record is from RNAcentral.